GGGAAGGUGGCUCAGUGUGUAGAGCGCUUGCCUUGCAUGCAUGCAGCCCUGGGUUCGAUUCCUCAGCACCCA
Molecule: non-coding RNA, 72 nt
Organism: Dipodomys ordii (Ord's kangaroo rat)
Lineage: Eukaryota; Metazoa; Chordata; Mammalia; Rodentia; Heteromyidae
Source: Rfam